This 429-nucleotide ribosomal RNA is filed under the name Bacillota bacterium. RNAcentral describes it as "Firmicutes bacterium partial 16S ribosomal RNA". It matches the Rfam family "Bacterial small subunit ribosomal RNA", at positions 355 to 776 of the family's 1533-position model. Lineage: Bacteria; Bacillati; Bacillota. The record is from RNAcentral.
UAGGGAAUCUUCGGCAAUGGACGGAAGUCUGACCGAGCAACGCCGCGUGAGUGAAGAAGGUUUUCGGUUCGUAAAGCUCUGUUGUUAGAGAAGAACGUUGGUAGGAGCGGAAAAUCUACCAAGUGACGGUAACUAACCAGAAAGGGACGGCUAACUACGUGCCAGCAGCCGCGGUAAUACGUAGGUCCCGAGCGUUGUCCGGAUUUAUUGGGCGUAAAGCGAGCGCAGGCGGUUCUUUAAGUCUGAAGUUAAAGGCAGUGGCUUAACCAUUGUACGCUUUGGAAACUGGAGGACUUGAGUGCGGAAGGGGAGAGUGGAAUUCCAUGUGGAGCGGUGAAAUGCGUAGAUAGAUGGAGGAACACCGGUGGCGAAUGCGGCUCUCUGGUCUGUAACUGACGCUGAGGCUCGAAAGCGUGGGGAGCAAACAGG